GGAGGAGUUGUGGAAGAUUUGCAGACCCUGUAAUUUUGCAGCUGAAGCUGACGACUGACAGGCGACCACAGCUCUGGUGGCUGAGGAGUGAACGGGACGACUCCGAGCUGUCUGAGGGAGAUCUACAAGCAAGCUGCAAGAUCCAUGUCUCUCCUGUACUGAGGGCCCUGGAGCUGGAUGCAGGACUCCAGAUGUGGUCUCACCACAGUGGAGCAGAGGGGCAGAAUCACCUCCCUUGACCUGCAAUCUGCAAAACACCAGACUUACCUUACAACACCACCAGACUUACUUCAUUGCAUAUGUGAAGAUACCUUUCUCCAGGAAAUCCCAGACAAAGGUAUGUAAAGGUUCAAGUCUGAUCUAAGGUUGUCAUUUGCACGACUUCACUGCUAAUGAAGAGACAUUCAUGAACAUCAUCAAAGAGUGACAUGAUCCACCUGCUCCGGUCUCCCCUUUCAUAACGGAUGAACUGUUUGUUGAAGGUAAUUCUUCAGCAUGGGAGUUGAAUGAGAAGCUCUUGUGUUGUCAUAUCUUUACAUACCUUCCACAGUCCCUUGGUCCCUUGAACCCAUAUGCGGUUGCACACAUUGACAGACGUGAGAAGGUGUAGGAAGAGGGAAGAGCAGUUCCUGUCCACUUCCCAAGCUAGGACUCUGGUGUUUGGAAAAGAGGGUCCACUGAGAAAAGACAGAUGAAGAGGAAGGAUGUGGUGUUCAAGAAAAAUUUGGUCUCUUUAUGCCUGGAUAAUUAAUAUCCUCAUGAGAUAGUCAUCUGACCUAUUUUUAUGAUAUGGAUUAAAGUAAAUCCUAUAAUCCUGUGCCGAUGCCUCCAAGUCAGAGCUGAAGGAGAUCAACAAAGAGUUGUGUCGAUGUCCCAGCCCUAGAAAAACAGGAGAUACUCAAGAGCAGAGACACCACUGUGUGUGGGAGCUACAGCACAAAGAAAACUGGGUGGAGUGGAGGCUGGCACAUGGUCAUCUGUUUUGAGAGAAAGCUGCAGAGGAAUUGCAGCAUAUCACCAUCAUGGAGUUUCUAUCCAGUUCUUUGGGUCAGAACAAAUUAAUCAGGUUUAAUAAGAAACAUUUUGAGGAAAAAAUGUCGGAAGAAGAGAAGAUAAAGAGAGGCAGAGGGAAAAAUGUGCUGAGACACAUUGGGGAAGAGCAGAAAAUAUGAGGAUGGUGACUAUACCCGAUCCAAACGAGAAGGCAAGCAUAGCAAGAUGUGAAGUGAUACAAAAUGGGAUACGAGAAACACAGAUAGAAAAAAAUCUGAAUUACCAGAAAUUUUCUGUACUUCUAUGCACAUCUAUGUGUACGUGUAUGUUUAAUAUCUUCACAUGUAUAAAAUGCCCAUAUUUAUCCUCAAAAUGCAAAUAAACAGCUUUAAGAAGCUACAGUAAACUAAACACUAAUGUUCACCUGUACUCGUGCUCUAAAAGAAUAAGGCUUUGUCUCUACUAGCAAUUACGAUGGGCAAAUAUGAGAGGAUCUGUAGAGGGAACCAGUGUGCACUGAAGACCCAUUGACAGCAUUAUAUGCAUUUCAGGCAGUUCUGCUUAGGAAAAGUUCUAGUCCAGCCCUGUGGGCUGAAUGCCCAUUCCCAGCUGGAGCAUGUCAUGUGUUGCUUACAGGGUGUUUCUCUUUCUUUAGCUGGUUUGUGUGAUUCAGGACUGUUCCAUGUUAUAAACCAGUAAGGCACAGUGAGCGGGAAUGACAGGAAGACUCAAACGCUAAUGAAGACUUUCUGCGAGAAAUUAAACAAACAUUCUUUAUCCUUUCCAUGCUGCAGCCUGUAUAGCUGUUAGUAAACCCCAAACCUGAUGGUUUUGUACAAAGCCAUUUUAUGUACAAGCAAGUCAGAUCUUGAAACUUAUUCAAGAUCUACAUUAUGCUUGUAUAACAAACUAAGACUCCAAAAGGUUUGUGCAUUAUUAAUGAGGGAGUGGAAGUGCUCUAGAAUCAGCUUUCAUCUAAAUAAAGGUGAUGAUGUUUAUCUGUACCCUUUGUAUUCAUUGUUGUCUUGAGUGCACAGUGCUUCCUGUUGGUAUGUAUGUUAUCGAUUUGCUGACUAAUCUUUUUAUCUGAUCAAUAUUGAUUGUAACUCUCAGUCUAUAACCUUUAGACAUAGUGAUAUUGUGGCUAAAUAAAAUACAGAUGCA
This is a long non-coding RNA of Columba livia (rock pigeon), 2157 nucleotides long. RefSeq lists it as uncharacterized. The record is from RefSeq and is a predicted model, not a curated record. The transcript has 11 exons. NCBI's taxonomy places the organism in Eukaryota, Metazoa, Chordata, Aves, Columbiformes, Columbidae.